This 494-nucleotide ribosomal RNA is filed under the name uncultured bacterium. RNAcentral describes it as "partial 16S ribosomal RNA". It matches the Rfam family "Bacterial small subunit ribosomal RNA", at positions 28 to 507 of the family's 1533-position model. The record is from RNAcentral.
GACGAACGCUGGCGGCGUGCUUAACACAUGCAAGUCGAACGGUGAAGCGCCUUCCUUUUUGGUGGGUGUGGAUGAGUGGCGAACGGGUGAGUAACACGUGAGUAACCUGCCCCCUUCUUCUGGAUAACCGCAUGAAAGUGUGGCUAAUACGGGAUAUUCUGGGUCUGUCGCAUGAUGGGUCUGGGAAAGAUAUUGUUUCGGUGGGGGAUGGGCUCGCGGCCUAUCAGCUUGUUGGUGGGGUGAUGGCCUACCAAGGCGGUGACGGGUAGCCGGCCUGAGAGGGUGGACGGUCACACUGGGACGGAGACACGGACCAGACUCCUACGGGAGGCAGCAGUGGGGAAUAUUGCACAAUGGGCGCAAGCCUGAUGCAGCGACGCCGCGGGAGGGAUGGAGGCCUUCGGGUUGUGAACCUCUUUCGCCAGUGAAGCAGGCCUGCCUCGUUUGUGGGUGGGUUGACGGUAGCUGGAUAAGAAGCGCCGGCUAACUACGUG